This 386-nucleotide long non-coding RNA is filed under the name Androctonus crassicauda. The record is from RNAcentral. Lineage: Eukaryota; Metazoa; Arthropoda; Arachnida; Scorpiones; Buthidae.
AAAAUUCUUAAACUAAAAUAUAUUGUAAUCAUUUAUUUUCUGUUUUAAUUUCAUUGAAAUUGAGGAGAAAAUCAGAAAAAAAAACGUGUAAUAUCCUUGAGCAAUUAAAAGGGUGUGACAUUUUUAUUGCUUUAUAGAGCCACUCCUUUCCUGGUAAAUUGCAGCCAAGCCUAUUUUGCAUGCGAGUGACUUUGGGUCCGGAAUUAAAAUAUAUCAGUGGUGGUCCAGUUAGAGCAAGGAUACAAACUUAUGACCAAGGGCCGAAUAGAUUCAUUGUGACUUAUAGGAGGGCCAUCAAAAAAAGGAAAUUCAUGUUAUAUUACAAAAAACAUAAUCAAAAUUCAAGAAUUUUUAAUUGGAUAAGUGGCAUUGCAUUGAUUUAAGAU